AGUCGGACGGGCCGCGGGGACGUGGGCGCCGCUCCGGAGCUCGCCGGGGACGGGCGCGGGGGCGCCUCGCGGGGACCCUCGGAGGGACGCCGAGCCCAGGACGCCGCGGAGACGAGCGCAGCUGGCAGAGGCCGGCCGGGCGUGGGGGUUGGGGGCCGGCCGACUGGGUGGGACAGGAAAAGAGGAGAGAAACCGCCCUCUGCAGGUUCCCUCUGCCGCCGGGCCGCCUCUGCUCCCCCGGGAGGAAGAGCUGCCUUUCCUUCAGCGAUUGUCACUCUACUCUCCAUCCGGAGCCGCUUCCUCCCUCGCCCCGAGGCUCCACAGGGCAGGGGAUCUGAACCCGGGGCUGACUGGGAUCGGUUCGCUCUCCCCGCGACUGACGUUCUGUGAACUUUCAGCAAAUGCGGGAAGUUACAUUUCCUUGCGUUUGCCUCUCUUUUACGUAAAUAGGUCUGUGUCCAGAAGUUCGGGACGUAAGCUGACUUUGUGGGCACUGUCCGGCCGGGAGGCAGGGAGAGGAAGUGGGGAUGGGAGAGUUUCCCCACCCAGAUCUUCCCUGACUCACAUGCAUCUGGGACAGUGUGGAGCAGAGGUUAAGGGCGUCGUGGACUUUGGAGUCAAACAGUCCCACCUCCGCGGCUUGUUAAUUGUGUGACUUUGGGCAAAAUAUUUAACGUCUCUAAGUCUCUGCCCUCAUCCCUGAAUGGGGCACUGAAAGUAACAAUGCCUGCGCAGCCAUUUCAUAGCCACGAUUCUAGCACUUGGUGAAUGCCUCAAUUUAACUAUUAAUCAAUGCCAUACUAUAGCCACCUCUUGACUUGCUUCUUGGUGGCAGGAAAUGUUCCCAAACUAAUGAGGAACUCAAUGACUAAGGAUGUAAUAGUUUAACGUGGGCUCUGGAAUUGCUCUGCUAUUGACCUUGGACAAAUCACUGGUUUCAUUCCUCUGGGGCAACACCUGUGUCAGAGUUACUGCGGGGGUGGGAAUGAGUUAAUACAUCUGAAGCAUUAGAACCUUACCUGGCACACGGUAGAAUCAAUAACCUUGCCUCAGUGGAGAACAGUGUGCUGGGCUGGAACAAUUCCCCGUGUCAAACAAAGAAUCCACACGUAGAAUAACAGUUUAUUCAACAAUCUGAAAAUCUGUUCUUUAAGUCUUGCAAAAUGAGUGCUUCCCUGUCUUGCCAGACUCUGAAAACACCUGUGGAUCAAAGUGUACAAUGUAGAAGUCCUGCACCCUCACACCCCGAUGCCACCCUUGCGCUCUCUGUCCAGGUUAGCACCUCUCAGAUAACAGGAGGCUCCCACGGUAAGCUGGUCAACCUUCAGUUAGGCAUAGGUAGUAGCGUGCUGUGAUCUGAGGGGUACCAGACAUCCCAGAUAUCCACACGGCUCAUGCCCUGGCCUCUUUCAUUGCCCAACGCCACCUUCUCUGACCACUCUGUUUAAAAUUGCAAUUCAGGCCCCACUCCCUGUGCCUUCCCCUACUUAAUUUUUCUCCAUAUCUCUUAUUGCCACUACAUUAUAAUUUUACUUAUUUAUUCUGUUUCUUGUCUAUCCUUCCCCCCGCGCCCCCACCACUAGAAUGUAAGCUGCAGGAAGGCAGAGAAUUUCCUGUUUUGUUCACUGUGAUACUCCCCUUCCUAGGAAGGUGCCUGGCACAUAGUGCAGGCUCGAUAAGUAAUUGUGGAAUGAAUGGAUGAAUCCUGAUGCCACUGAGUCAGAUGUCUUACCAUGAUCCUCUCUACAGUGCACCUGACAGUUGAUCUCACAGCCCUGGCUUUUAACACCAAGGAAGGAGAACUAUUUCCCAAGGUGGCCCAUCCCAUUUUAGUUUUUGGAAGCUCCUUGUAUACCCUUUCCCCUAUAUCUAAAAAAAUUUUUUUCCAUACCAUUUUUGUGUGUGUGUGAGGAAGCUUG
Molecule: long non-coding RNA, 1919 nt
Organism: Equus quagga
Lineage: Eukaryota; Metazoa; Chordata; Mammalia; Perissodactyla; Equidae
Exons: 3
Source: RefSeq, a predicted model, not a curated record